This 82-nucleotide transfer RNA is filed under the name Perkinsus olseni. RNAcentral's name for it is "tRNA-Leu". Lineage: Eukaryota; Perkinsozoa; Perkinsida; Perkinsidae. The record is from RNAcentral.
GGCUGUGUGGUCUAGUGGUAUGAUUCUUGCUUCAGGUGUGAGAGGUUUCGUGUUCGAGUUUCACACAUGUUUCACACAGUUU